This 429-nucleotide ribosomal RNA is filed under the name uncultured bacterium. RNAcentral describes it as "bacterial SSU rRNA". It matches the Rfam family "Bacterial small subunit ribosomal RNA", at positions 355 to 776 of the family's 1533-position model. The record is from RNAcentral.
UAGGGAAUUUUGCGCAAUGGGCGAAAGCCUGACGCAGCGACGCCGCGUGAGUGAAGAAGGCCUUCGGGUUGUAAAGCUCUGUCAGAUGGGACGAAUAAGUGGACUCAAAUAGGGUCUCACGAUGACGGUACCAUCAGAGGAAGCACCGGCUAACUCUGUGCCAGCAGCCGCGGUAAUACAGAGGGUGCAAGCGUUAUUCGGAAUCACUGGGCGUAAAGAGCAUGUAGGUGGCGUACCAAGUCAGGUGUGAAAUCUCGGGGCUUAACCUCGAAAUUGCAUUUGAAACUGGUACACUUGAGAAAGGGAGAGGAAUGUAGAAUUCCUGGUGUAGAGGUGAAAUUCGUAGAUAUCAGGAGGAAUACCGGAGGCGAAGGCGGCAUUCUGGCCCUUCACUGACACUGAGAUGCGAAAGCGUGGGUAGCAAACAGG